Molecule: long non-coding RNA, 543 nt
Filed under: Zalophus californianus (California sea lion)
Lineage: Eukaryota; Metazoa; Chordata; Mammalia; Carnivora; Otariidae
Description: lncRNA (ENSZCAG00015017719.1)
Source: RNAcentral
AUUGAGCUGCAUGUUUCUUUUUAAAUUCCUUAUAUUUUCUAUUUCAGCCUUCAGCACAUGAAACAACAAAUAUUUAUUGAGGGUUGAAGAAUGAGAUCAUGACUUCCUUUCUGUAUCAACUCCUUGGUUCUUGAUUUCUCUACAUUACAAAUUAUGUCUAGAAUACCUCACAAUGAGCGCUCAAGCUCUCAGCUCUUGCUCUGUUAACAAUGGGGGCUAUGAGCCGGAGUGUGUUCAGAUCACUGAUGAACACUGUAAGCCCUGGUGCCUUCCACACCACCAGCUGAAAUGAGACAGCAAACACUGAGAGAGAAAGUCAGAGCGAGCACAUAUUACCUGCUGCAAAGGAACAACGUGUUGAGAAGAUGGACCCCUGCGCAAGUGGGAAUGGAUGUACCCACAUCUGUCAGAGUGAGAAUGGUGUGGCCAGGUGUGUCUGUCGCCCAGGGUACUAGCUGUCUGAAGACAAAAAGGCCUAUAGAGACCUUGAUGAAUGUGAGAGUGGAGAAAUCCGCUGUGCCCAACUAUGCAUCAACUAUUUAG